This 253-nucleotide ribosomal RNA is filed under the name uncultured bacterium. Its description in RNAcentral is "partial 16S ribosomal RNA". It matches the Rfam family "Bacterial small subunit ribosomal RNA", at positions 524 to 776 of the family's 1533-position model. The record is from RNAcentral.
UACAGAGGUGGCAAGCGUUGUUCGGAAUUACUGGGCGUAAAGCGUGCGCAGGCGGUUUUGUAAGCCAGAUGUGAAAUCCCCGGGCUUAACCUGGGAAUGGCAUUUGGGACUGCAAGGCUGGAGUUUGGCAGAGGAGACUGGAAUUCCUGGUGUAGCAGUGAAAUGCGUAGAUAUCAGGAGGAACACCGAUGGCGAAGGCAGGUCUCUGGGCUGAAACUGACGCUCAUGCACGAAAGCGUGGGGAGCAAACAGG